This 74-nucleotide transfer RNA is filed under the name Anaerolineaceae bacterium 4572_78. RNAcentral describes it as "tRNA-Pro". It matches the Rfam family "tRNA". Rfam says of the family: Transfer RNA (tRNA) molecules are approximately 80 nucleotides in length. Their secondary structure includes four short double-helical elements and three loops (D, anti-codon, and T loops). The record is from RNAcentral. RNAcentral also lists the same sequence under 1 other name. Lineage: Bacteria; Bacillati; Chloroflexota; Anaerolineae; Anaerolineales; Anaerolineaceae.
CGGGAUGUAGCGCAGUCCGGUAGCGUGCACGGUUCGGGUCCGUGAGGUCCUCGGUUCAAAUCCGGGCAUCCCGA